AGGAGUGUAGCUUAAUUGGUAGAGCACUGGUCUCCAAAACCAGAGGUUGUAGGUUCAAUCCCUAUCGCUCCUG
Molecule: transfer RNA, 73 nt
Filed under: Wolbachia endosymbiont of Cruorifilaria tuberocauda
Lineage: Bacteria; Pseudomonadati; Pseudomonadota; Alphaproteobacteria; Rickettsiales; Anaplasmataceae
Description: tRNA-Trp
Rfam family: tRNA
About the family: Transfer RNA (tRNA) molecules are approximately 80 nucleotides in length.
Source: RNAcentral